ACAGAGGUCUCAAGCGUUGUUCGGAAUCACUGGGCGUAAAGCGUAUGUAGGCUGUACGGUAAGUCAGAUGUGAAAGCCCAAGGCUCAACCUUGGAACUGCAUCCGAUACUGCCAUACUUGAGUAGUGGAGGGGUAUAUGGAAUUCACGGUGUAGCAGUGAAAUGCGUAGAUAUCGUGAGGAACACUGGCGGCGAAGGCGAUAUACUGGACACUCACUGACGCUGAGAUACGAAGGCUAGGGUAGCGAAAGGG
This 252-nucleotide ribosomal RNA is filed under the name uncultured bacterium. RNAcentral's name for it is "partial 16S ribosomal RNA". It matches the Rfam family "Bacterial small subunit ribosomal RNA", at positions 525 to 776 of the family's 1533-position model. The record is from RNAcentral.